This is a long non-coding RNA of Acipenser ruthenus (sterlet), 865 nucleotides long. RefSeq lists it as uncharacterized. NCBI's taxonomy places the organism in Eukaryota, Metazoa, Chordata, Actinopteri, Acipenseriformes, Acipenseridae. The record is from RefSeq and is a predicted model, not a curated record. The transcript has 2 exons.
GGAUUAUUUAAGGAAGCACACAUUCCCUGGCAGUCAUCUGUUUAACUAGCUGUUAACAGGGAGCAGAUCUCUUCUGAAGAAACUACAGCAACUUGUUGCUCACAACUGUCCUAUUCCAGAUCUUCUAGUUUGUGUGCUCUGACCGUGAAAGAGAACAUGGGGAACGACAACUCAAACACCCACGUGGCCAAUGCAACCGGGAAGCCACUUCGGAUUUAUUAUCAUGUGGAGAGGAUGAGGCUUAAUGAAUUGGUGGUGGAAGGGGGGGCUGAGAUCGGAGGUUCGGUAUCAGACUCUGGUGCAUCGUUGAGUGGGAAAAUUUCCAGUAAUGUGAAGAGUGUUUUUAAACCUGACUCCCGGAUCCGCUACAUACGAUUGCCAGCCAACGACUACUGUAAAUUUAGUGGGGAAGGGGAGCUCUUUGUCUGUGUCUUUGUGGAAGAUAAUCACAAUGAAAAAUCCUGUGUUGAUACAAUCUCCAUCAAUUUCCAUGUCCCCAGUGACAGGUCUUUCAUUGUGACGGCCAACCACAACAUCAAGUUCCAAAAGUAUGGUGCUGGUUUAUGGAUCGAUGAUCUAGGCUAUGACCAUCGCAACUAACAUUCCUCACAAGACCAAAGCCCUGAUCUGUAAACAAUCAACAAAAGAUAUGAAUCCUUCAGGGAUAAGAAAUUAGGAGUGCACCAGGUUGUGCCUACUGCUGAAUCAAAAGUAAAGAAAACCUGGUUCCUCUAAGUUUAGAAAAUAUUUCCAGAAACAAAUAAAAUAAGACAUAAACAAUUGUACUGCACAGCAAUAAAUAGAGAUGCAUUGAUUCUUAAUUGCUUAAAAUCAUGAUAAUGAAAUAAAGAUGUGAAAUUUGCAA